UGGGGAAUUUUGGACAAUGGGCGAAAGCCUGAUCCAGCAAUGCCGCGUGUGUGAAGAAGGCCUUCGGGUUGUAAAGCACUUUUGUCCGGAAAGAAAUCCUUGGCUCUAAUACAGUCGGGGGAUGACGGUACCGGAAGAAUAAGCACCGGCUAACUACGUGCCAGCAGCCGCGGUAAUACGUAGGGUGCAAGCGUUAAUCGGAAUUACUGGGCGUAAAGCGUGCGCAGGCGGUUUUCUAAGACCGAUGUGAAAUCCCCGGGCUCAACCUGGGAACUGCAUUGGUGACUGGCAGGCUAGAGUAUGGCAGAGGGGGGUAGAAUUCCACGUGUAGCAGUGAAAUGCGUAGAGAUGUGGAGGAAUACCGAUGGCGAAGGCAGCCCCCUGGGCCAAUACUGACGCUCAUGCACGAAAGCGUGGGGAGCAAACAGGAUUAGAUACCCUGGUAGUCCACGCCCUAAACGAUGUCAACUAGUUGUUGGGGACUUCAUUUCCUUAGUAACGUAGCUAACGCGUGAAGUUGACCGCCUGGGGAGUACGGUCGCAAGAUUAAAACUCAAAUGAAUUGACGGGGUCAUA
This 576-nucleotide ribosomal RNA is filed under the name uncultured bacterium. Its description in RNAcentral is "partial 16S ribosomal RNA". It matches the Rfam family "Bacterial small subunit ribosomal RNA", at positions 355 to 923 of the family's 1533-position model. The record is from RNAcentral.